This 422-nucleotide unclassified non-coding RNA is filed under the name uncultured fungus. RNAcentral describes it as "partial contains small subunit ribosomal RNA, internal transcribed spacer 1, and 5.8S ribosomal RNA". The stretch from base 1 to 73 matches the Rfam family "Eukaryotic small subunit ribosomal RNA", at positions 1759 to 1831 of the family's 1831-position model. Lineage: Eukaryota; Fungi. The record is from RNAcentral.
GCAAACUUGGUCAUUUAGAGGAAGUAAAAGUCGUAACAAGGUUUCCGUAGGUGAACCUGCGGAAGGAUCAUUACUGAAAAUGAAAUGGGCUGCUGCUGGCUCUUAGAGGCAAUGUGCACGCCCACUCCAUUUUUUUAUUUUCCCCCGUGCACCUUGUGUAGAUCCUUGAAUUCAACGGCUCACGAGAACGAAUGCUUUUUGCAUUCGUUCUCUUGGGCCCGAUGGGUCAACUCCGUGUCUGCUGAAAGACACGGCCGUUGUGCUCAGUUCAAGGUUCUAUGUUUUGGUUACAAUACCCCCCACAAGCAUGGUGUCAGAAGGCGAUGGUAACGGGAGGGCCCCCCUUCCGGGGCCCUUUCGAAUUCAAAUGUACAACUUUCAACAACGGAUCUCUUGGCUCUCGCAUCGAUGAAGAACGCAGC